UCUUUAGGGUUCAAGCGUUAAUCGGAAUUACUGGGCGUAAAGCGCACGCAGGCGGUCUGUCAAGUCGGAUGUGAAAUCCCCGGGCUUAACCUGGGAACUGCAUUCGAAACUGGCAGGCUAGAGUCUUGUAGAGGGGGGUAGAAUUCCAGGUGUAGCGGUGAAAUGCGUAGAGAUCUGGAGGAAUACCGGUGGCGAAGGCGGCCCCCUGGACAGAGACUGACGCUCAGGUGCGAAAGCGUGGGAAGCAAACAGG
RNAcentral lists this ribosomal RNA (253 nucleotides) under uncultured bacterium. RNAcentral's name for it is "partial 16S ribosomal RNA". It matches the Rfam family "Bacterial small subunit ribosomal RNA", at positions 524 to 776 of the family's 1533-position model. The record is from RNAcentral.